CUGGGACGACGGCGAGGGCAUUUCUGCGAUUUGCCUGUGCUCUACGGAGCUGCGCGUACAACUAUUUACUCUUCAAUGCUACACAUACGUCCCUGACCUGUAAGCCCACCAUCGUUGGCUACAAGUCAUCGUGGAUGACACUGGGCGGUGUGACGGUGUACGGGAUGCGCGCCGCACCCAGCAACGUCACCGUCAACGGCAAGUCCGCGACGUUCACCUACGAUGACAAACACCAGGUGCUGUACGUGAAAGACAUGGCAGAGAACAUGCUGGCUCCUAUAGUGGUCCACUGGAAGCUUCCUUAAGGCAGAAGCAGGAGGACUUGACCUUAUGACCUUGGGAUAGAGCCUCGUAGAGGUGAUGUGAUGAUUUAGAAACUGUGAAUGAUGUAAUGAUACUUGUGAUGGAUUUCCUUAUCUAUAUCGAUAGUGUUUUAUUUUCUGUGCGACGUGCAGGAACAAUCACACUUACUUUUAGCAGUUUCCACUUUAUAUGGAUUAUUAAUUAUUAUAGCUGGUUCGUGGACACGCAUCCUCUUGAUAAGUUCUUGAUGCAAUUGAUUAUCGUAAGUAUUGAAGUUUAUGUAUUUUAAUUGAAAUGACAUUUUAGCAUCAUUUAUACCAUAGUAUGGUAUAAUGUGAAAGGAAUGGAAACCUAUUCUAAACGAAGGUAUUACAAAAGUUGUUGUUAUAACGAUCAUGAACAUAUAUAUACUCUGUAUAUAUAAGUAUAUGUGCUACUAUGUAUAUAUAUAUAUGUGUGUGUGUGUUCAUGAUACAAUUUGUGAUACAUAUAUUCUCGUAUAUAGUGAAGUUAAUGUGGCAAAUAGCAGAGAAGUCGUGGGGAAGAAUUUGGUCAUGAAUCUGUGGUGCUGUGUGUAUGUAGUGUGUAGUGUGUGGUGUGUGUGUGAUGUAGUGUGUAGUGUGUGUAGUGUGUGGGUGUGUGUGUAGCGAGUGUCGGGUCAUACCUAACAUCUACUGCUACUGUUGAGAUAUUGAGUGUGAACCAGGCAUCUGCGGCUGCUGUGACCCUGCCAUAUGUCUCCCUCCAUUGCUGCUUCCAGGAAUGCUACUAGAUAGAGCAGUAAAGUACAUGCAGUUCAGGGUGGAGUGAUGUUUUAAGUAAAACUAUCUUGCCUUUUAAUUUUAAGUGAAUGUAUGUUAUUUUACAGUUAAGUAAAUUUUACCCGGAGAACAUUUUAGUUGCUAUACUGUAAGUUGUUAUUUUUGCCAUGUUUUCUCUGCUGCAAUAAUAACAUGCAUUCCUUGUGAGGGAAACCUAACGUAGCUGAGUUCCAGUGCCAGGUUGUUUAUUUAUAGGAAUUAUAAUAUUCUCAUUGAGUGCCUUUUGGAUUUUAUGGAAGUGACGUUCUUGUAAGCGGCUUAGUAUUAUGGGAUAUCUGGCACUAUUGAUUCUCUGAGAGUGUCGUAUAACAGAGAAGUGGGGCGCUAUCAUGGAUGGAGGUUUUGCACACAAGGAGCCACGAGGAAAGUAUUCAUACGUACUUUGAUGGGACGUGUUACAUUUUCUGUAUGGGAUAGGUUAUCAUUGCAAAUCUGUUAAUAAAUCAGGUUGCCUCUUCCAACCAUGA
RNAcentral lists this long non-coding RNA (1591 nucleotides) under Priapulus caudatus. RNAcentral's name for it is "uncharacterized LOC106818153". Lineage: Eukaryota; Metazoa; Priapulida; Priapulimorpha; Priapulimorphida; Priapulidae. The record is from RNAcentral.